CAGCGAUGUUGCGGCAGCUGGUGUCUCUGGUGUCACGGCGGCGACUUGUGUCUGGGCGCGGCUUCCGUGAAGCGCGCUCUGCUGAUGGUUUCUCGACUGGCGCUUACAAGCAGUGGUGUUGUGGGAGCUGGAUCGGCAGUGUUGACACUAUACACUAGUGGCUCUGCAGGCUCGGCGUGCGUGUCUUUCAGAGCUGCACUGAGCCGGCGCGCGCGGGGGAAAGGGUUCCCCCCCCGCUGCGGGAGUUGA
This 249-nucleotide long non-coding RNA is filed under the name Junco hyemalis (dark-eyed junco). Its description in RNAcentral is "lncRNA (ENSJHYG00000015267.1)". Lineage: Eukaryota; Metazoa; Chordata; Aves; Passeriformes; Passerellidae. The record is from RNAcentral.